This 279-nucleotide ribosomal RNA is filed under the name uncultured bacterium. RNAcentral's name for it is "partial 16S ribosomal RNA". It matches the Rfam family "Bacterial small subunit ribosomal RNA", at positions 506 to 784 of the family's 1533-position model. The record is from RNAcentral.
UGCCAGCCGCCGCGGUAAUACAGAGGGUGCAAGCGUUAAUCGGAAUUACUGGGCGUAAAGCGCACGUAGGUGGGUAUUUAAGUCGAUUGUGAAAGCCCCGGGCUUAACCUGGGAACUGCAGUCGAUACUGGGUACCUAGAGUAUGGUAGAGGGAAGUGGAAUUCCGGGUGUAGCGGUGAAAUGCGUAGAUAUCCGGAGGAACAUCAGUGACGAAGGCGACUUCCUGGACUGAUACUGACACUGAGGUGCGAAAGCGUGGGGAGCAAACAGGAUUAGAUA